AGCCUCGUGGUGUAUGGCACAUUAGAUUGCAAGUCUGAAAGCGCAGAAUAAUCCCUGCCGGGGCUU
Molecule: transfer RNA, 66 nt
Filed under: Hoplias malabaricus (trahira)
Lineage: Eukaryota; Metazoa; Chordata; Actinopteri; Characiformes; Erythrinidae
Also listed under: 1 other name
Description: tRNA-Cys
Source: RNAcentral